Molecule: ribosomal RNA, 394 nt
Filed under: uncultured Chrysophyceae
Lineage: Eukaryota; Chrysophyceae
Description: partial small subunit ribosomal RNA
Rfam family: Eukaryotic small subunit ribosomal RNA
Source: RNAcentral
GCUUGUCUCAAAGAUUAAGCCAUGCAUGUCUAAGUGUAAAUAAGUCUAUACUGUGAAACUGCGAAUGGCUCAUUAAAUCAGUUAUCGUUUAUUUGAUGAUCUCUUACUACUUGGAUAACCGUAGUAAUUCUAGAGCUAAUACAUGCAUCAAUACCCAACUGUUCGCGGAAGGGUAGUAUUUAUUAGAUGGAAACCAAUGCAGGGCAACCUGGAAUAUGGUGAUUCAUAAUAACUCGCGGAUCGGUUUACCGAUGCAUCAUUCAAGUUUCUGCCCUAUCAGCUUUGGAUGGUAGGGUAUUGGCCUACCAUGGCUUUAACGGGUAACGGAGAAUUAGGGUUCGAUUCCGGAGAGGGAGCCUGAGAAAUGGCUACCACAUCCAAGGAAGGCAGCAGG